Molecule: ribosomal RNA, 1385 nt
Filed under: uncultured bacterium
Lineage: Bacteria
Description: bacterial SSU rRNA
Rfam family: Bacterial small subunit ribosomal RNA
Source: RNAcentral
CCUUAGAGUUUGAUCCUGGCUCAAGAUGAACCCUAGCGACAGGCUUAACACAUGCAAGUCGAGGGGCAGCACAGGUAGCAAUACCGGGUGGCGACCGGCGCACGGGUGAGCAACGCGUAUGCAACUUGCCUAUCAGAGGGGGAUAACCCGGCGAAAGUCGGACUAAUACCGCAUGAAGCAGGGAUCCCGCAUGGGAAUAUUUGCUAAAGAUUCAUCGCUGAUAGAUAGGCAUGCGUUCCAUUAGGCAGUUGGCGGGGUAACGGCCCACCAAACCGACGAUGGAUAGGGGUUCUGAGAGGAAGGUCCCCCACAUUGGUACUGAGACACGGACCAAACUCCUACGGGAGGCAGCAGUGAGGAAUAUUGGUCAAUGGCCGAGAGGCUGAACCAGCCAAGUCGCGUGAGGGAUGAAGGUUCUAUGGAUCGUAAACCUCUUUUAUAAGGGAAUAAAGUGCGGGACGUGUCCCGUUUUGUAUGUACCUUAUGAAUAAGGAUCGGCUAACUCCGUGCCAGCAGCCGCGGUAAUACGGAGGAUCCGAGCGUUAUCCGGAUUUAUUGGGUUUAAAGGGUGCGUAGGCGGCCUUUUAAGUCAGCGGUGAAAGUCUGUGGCUCAACCAUAGAAUUGCCGUUGAAACUGGGGGGCUUGAGUAUGUUUGAGGCAGGCGGAAUGCGUGGUGUAGCGGUGAAAUGCAUAGAUAUCACGCAGAACCCCGAUUGCGAAGGCAGCCUGCCAAGCCAUGACUGACGCUGAUGCACGAAAGCGUGGGGAUCAAACAGGAUUGGAUACCCUGGUAGUCCACGCAGUAAACGAUGAUCACUAGCUGUUUGCGAUACACUGUAAGCGGCACAGCGAAAGCGUUAAGUGAUCCACCUGGGGAGUACGCCGGCAACGGUGAAACUCAAAGGAAUUGACGGGGGCCCGCACAAGCGGAGGAACAUGUGGUUUAAUUCGAUGAUACGCGAGGAACCUUACCCGGGUUUGAACGCAUUCGGACCGAGGUGGAAACACCUUUUCUAGCAAUAGCCGUUUGCGAGGUGCUGCAUGGUUGUCGUCAGCUCGUGCCGUGAGGUGUCGGCUUAAGUGCCAUAACGAGCGCAACCCUUGCCACUAGUUACUAACAGGUGAUGCUGAGGACUCUGGUGGGACUGCCAGCGUAAGCUGCGAGGAAGGCGGGGAUGACGUCAAAUCAGCACGGCCCUUACAUCCGGGGCGACACACGUGUUACAAUGGCGUGGACAAAGGGAAGCCACCUGGCGACAGGGAGCGAAUCCCCAAACCACGUCUCAGUUCGGAUCGGAGUCUGCAACCCGACUCCGUGAAGCUGGAUUCGCUAGUAAUCGCGCAUCAGCCAUGGCGCGGUGAAUACGUUCCCGGGCCUUGCACA